Molecule: long non-coding RNA, 2236 nt
Filed under: Canis lupus familiaris (dog)
Lineage: Eukaryota; Metazoa; Chordata; Mammalia; Carnivora; Canidae
Description: lncRNA (ENSCAFG00845002593.1)
Source: RNAcentral
GCAUGAUGGUGUCCCCUUGGCAUGAGGCGCGGCUGGUGCAGACUCAGCACCCAGUAAACACCUAAGGCAGUGCAUGAGUGGCCCUUAUAAAAUGGCAUAGGUGGCCCACUGUCAGGCCAGUGUGUCAGAGACAGCCUCGCACACUGACAGAUGGGGGACACGGGACUACUUGGGGUGUCCUAGGAGAACAACGAUCAAUCCAACAGAAGAGUCAGAGGAUGCUCAGACUUCAGAAAAUUUGAAAAGGUUCUGCUGUCGUUGGGACAGGCAUUCAUUAUUCUGUUUAAAUCAAGUCAGAGGAAAGUGUCCUACAUAUCCUCCCAAUCUCCCACAAACACAGGCCCAUCUGGCAUCCAAAGACAGACGCACAGCCUCCGUGUGACCUGUCACAUCAGCAUGGCUUCGGCAUGUGGUGCCGAUUGCGGGCUCACCAUCUCCUCUUCCCACACCUCGUGCCAGGUUUCUCCAGGAAAACCAUACCAGGCUGCCCUCCAUCAAGGAAUCCUUGGAUAUUCCUAUUUACCUGGUGUCUCACCAGCAUCUCUGUUGUUACCACGACUGGAUAUCUGCGUUGCUCUGUGCUUCAUUACGAGUGAGUUCCAUGAGUAAAGAACGGUCACUGAUUUCAUUCGUUCACUUUAAUUUCAACUGUUGUGAACUGUGAACUUUCUCGGCCACUUUUUAGAGAAUUUUAUAUGCUUGGACAUUUCUAAGAACUUUUUAUAUAUUCUUCACACCUCUGGCAUUUAUUGCAAAUCUACGUCCUGUUACACAUCAUUACUGCUCACCGUUUAUUAUAGUUCCUACAUGCCAAGCUCUGUGCUGAGCAGCCUCACUAUAACCGCGUGUGAGGAAGCACCAUCCCCAUUUUAUAGAUGGGAAAAUAGAGGCUCCACCACUUAGACAUUUUGGUCACCAACACAAAGCUAGAAACUGUGAAACUAUCUUAGCAUAUUCUGGUUACUUGGGCUAUAACAUUGUGGUUUUUAAUUCUAUAUAAUCAUGUAUGUCCAUAUUGUUUUAUUUUUUUAUAUUGUUUUGAAUUUUUCAUUUCUCUGUAACCACAACUGAUGCUAAACAUGCUUUCGUUGACUUUGCUUAAUAAGGGUAUUGUAAGAAGCCCCAGUGAACAGUUUCCAAUCUCAUUCUAUAGAGGGAUUUUGACAUCUGAGACAUCACUGGAAGUAAACCGCCACCGAGACACAGAGAUUUUUUUCAUCAGAGUUUUAAUUUAGAAGGUUUUUUUUUUUUUUCUGUAACUCAGAUCUACCUUAGAUGAGUAAUAACAUCUUCCAAGAAAGAGAAGAAAAAUGGGGCCCUAACCAGUUGUGCUUUGGUCGGAGAGCAGAAGUGAAAAGGACAUGAAGACUCUGAACUGAUUGUCCCUUGACGCCCCAGUUUAUUCUGGGGCUUGUCGCUACCAAAUGCCAGACUGAAGCGGCCUUGCUUUUAAGUCCAGCAGUGAAUCCCUGCUCUUGGGGGCUGACCCUCCCAUCGCUGACAGCCCAGGCCAAGCGCAGACACCCCCACGGCUCCCGGUCCGGGGGUGCAUCUAUGCUCCUGGGGGCUGACCCUCCCAUCGCUGACAGCCCAGGCCAAGCGCAGACACCCCCACGGCUCCCGAGCUUUGUCUGCUGCUUGCGUUUUGUCAAACUGGGACACAAACCCUGAGACUCGGCCCGUCUCCUCUGUUCCCAGCCCGGCCCGGCUCCUGUCGCCACAUGACCCCUCCUGGGGCGCUGCCCGAGUGUCAGCCGCCGGCCAAGCUCCCCUUUGAGCUUCCUCCCGUAGCCCCGGGGCUGGCAGCUCAGCCCAGCCCAGGUUCUGAGAACCACGGCUCUGCUGCUGAGUCUCCGAGGUGACAAAGGAUUCCUAAAGCACUGGUACUGUCACUUGGGGAUACAGACCCUUUGAUCUACGAAGGCACCACUGCCGCAGCUGCCCUUCUGGGCGAUCCUAACAAAGGAGGUGAUUCCCAUCAAAGAAUCAGUUCCCGCAACUUCUCCCAAGGCGACACCACACUGCUGACAGGUGGUUCCCACCGUCCCUCCCGGAGGCCACGGAGGACCCCGGGGUUUCCCUCGGGUGCCCCCCGCCGCGGCCCUUGCAGUGGGUGCCAGCCUUUGCUUCCUGCCUUACCUCCUGGGAACGCGAGCUGGAGCCUGCAUUUCACCGCCUUUGCUCCGACUUCCCUGCUUUUCCUAAACUCUUGCAUCUGCCGAUUUACGGGCCUGGU